Molecule: long non-coding RNA, 417 nt
Filed under: Pan paniscus (pygmy chimpanzee)
Lineage: Eukaryota; Metazoa; Chordata; Mammalia; Primates; Hominidae
Description: lncRNA (ENSPPAG00000044262.1)
Source: RNAcentral
GUGUCUCUCACCAUAGCAGCUUAAAACAAAGCCCACAUGCCCUCAUGACACUAAUGAAUUUGUAGAGGCCCUGCAUCAGUCAGGAGUGUAUUCAACUUAAGAAAAUGGAGCAUGUGACCAGAAGCCUGAGGAGGCGGUGAUUGUGGUGAUCUGUCACCGAAGUCCAGCCCCCGUCCCUCAGGGGGCUUUCUCCCCCUCCCCCUUUCCAGCACUUGAUCCUCUGCCAGCUGCUCUCCUGUGGGUCUGCAAGAGCCCAACUGUUGGGAGAACAAUUUGAUUUAUCCUCUGGUCUCCACGGGUUGUGAGCAGCACACGUGUUCCCUGCCAGAGCGAUCGUGUACGUGUCUGAAGGACAAAGAGGGGCAGGCUGGCUCUCUACCCUGGGGUCCCAGGCCAAGCAGUGAAAGAACGGCCUAA